This 1474-nucleotide unclassified non-coding RNA is filed under the name Hevea brasiliensis (rubber tree). The record is from RNAcentral. Lineage: Eukaryota; Viridiplantae; Streptophyta; Magnoliopsida; Malpighiales; Euphorbiaceae.
GUUGAAAUUUUGUAUCGAUUUAAACUUCCAAAUUGUUUGUUCUGCUUGUCAUGAAUAUUUUGUUUUCUUGUAUUACAUUAGGGACGCCAGUAGUGCUUUCCUCCAUGGAUAUUGUCAGAUUUCCAAUCUUGACUUGUACACAUUUUUAGGAUAAUUGGAAUUUGUAAUCGUGUUAUCAUGCUGUGAAUCUUUUACCCUUUCCAUCCCUCCUUUUAUUUCAAGUACAUUGCAGUCAAACAAAAUCUUGAAUGGCAUUAACACCUGAUAAUGGUUGUUAUUCCAGGCUAUCUCAUUAACACCUGACGAGAACAUACAAGCAAGAGACUGAUAAAAUGAAGAAAAUAUUGAUAGAGUUGCAAAAUAUUGCAAGACAAUGAGUGUAACCAUAAAACGCGAGAUCCUAAAUUAUAAAAUGUAGAAUGAAUCAAAUAUACCUAGUCAAAUCAACCAUCCACCUUGUUCACUCUGAAGGAAUCCAUUACUUGACGAAGAUCAUUUUCCUCUUCCACAAAUACAUUUUCUGGUGUUUGUAAUCUCAGCUCAUAUAGCCUGUUAUUUUCAACUCCAAGAACUGAUAGGUACCUCCUAUUCCAUUCCAGACGAACUACUCGAUCUCGUGGCAUGACAGCCAUCUCAUUGUUAUUUGCAUAAGACUUUAUGUUCACCUCAACUUGAUAAUAAAGCUUCCCAUCAUCAGCUACUCUUGAGGAAGUGGAGAGUAAAUUUGACUCACGCCUGACGCCAAGUCUAGUAGACAUAAACUCUGUCAAAUACUGUUUAAGCACUUUCUUUCCAGCUUCUUGGGGAGGACCCAAGUCUUCAACGCUCCUGUAAUUGGAAGAUGAAGGGGAUGACAUCUCCACCGACAGAUUUUCAUCUAAAACAAAAGGAUCCCUGAAGAAUAUGUCAGCCCCUGAGCCUCGAACUUGAAUCCAGUUCUGUGGGUACUUGAAGGAAUACCCAUCAAAGGUAUCAAUGUGCUCCCUGAACCCAAUAGAUGAUUGAGCCAAUGCAGCGUCGUGGAAACCCAUCUCUGAGAAGACACAGCUUGACAAGAUCAAGGCCAUUCCAUCUCUCCUUGUAACUGCAAAAUCUUUAGUCUGAUUAUAUAAGAUCAAAAAAUUGGGUGGUGAGAAGCCAUUAGAAGUGUUUUAAUCAGCUAUGAGGUCACAUUAAAUUGAUAGUAAUUACCGAGUUGUUUUUACAGGAUACGGAGGGGCAGCGAGUGGAAUGGGUGGAGAUGGGCAGAGAGCAGCAGCCGAGCCAACUAGGAAGAACAGCAGAACGAGUUGGAGGGGUGAGCUGAACCGGAGGUGUAAGUGAGUCAAGGAUUGUGGCCAUUUCAGAGAUUUCCAAAGAGAAUCAAGAAGAAGAUAGGCUCGAGGAGGAAAGAUUACAUGGAAAUGAGGAUGAGAUGGAGCAUGGAUUCUCGUGCCAGCGACAGAUUUUAGAAGUUGGGUUGAAUGGGCUAAUG